CCUACGGGCGGCUGUAGUGGGGAAUAUUGGAGAAUGGGAGAAAGCCUGAUUCAGCCAUGCCGCGUGAAUGAUGAAGGUCUUAGGAUUGUAAAAUUCUUUCACCGGGGACGAUAAUGACGGUACCCGGAGAAGAAGCCCCGGCUAACUUCGUGCCAGCAGCCGCGGUAAUACGAAGGGGGCUAGCGUUGCUCGGAAUUACUGGGCGUAAAGGGCGCGUAGGCGGACAUUUAAGUCAGGGGUGAAAUCCCAGAGCUCAACGCUGGAACUGCCUUUGAUACUGGGUGUCUUGAGUGGGAGAGAGGUAUGUGGAACUCCGAGUGUCGCAGGGAAAUUCGUAUAUAUUCGGAACCCCCCCCUCGGCGAAGGCGACAUACUGGCUCAUUACUGACGCUGAGGCGCGAAAGCGUGGGGAGCAAACAGGAUUAGAUACCCCGGUAGUC
Molecule: ribosomal RNA, 440 nt
Filed under: uncultured Brevundimonas sp.
Lineage: Bacteria; Pseudomonadati; Pseudomonadota; Alphaproteobacteria; Caulobacterales; Caulobacteraceae
Description: bacterial SSU rRNA
Rfam family: Bacterial small subunit ribosomal RNA
Source: RNAcentral